GAUGAAGAACGCAGCGAAAUGCGAUACGUAAUGUGAAUUGCAAAUUCAGUGAAUCAUCGAGUCUUUGAACGCACAUUGCGCCCCCUGGUAUUCCGGGGGGCAUGCCUGUCCGAGCGUCAUUGCUGCCCUCAAGCACGGCUUGUGUGUUGGGCCCCGUCCUCCGAUCCCGGGGGACGGGCCCGAAAGGCAGCGGCGGCACCGCGUCCGGUCCUCGAGCGUAUGGGGCUUUGUCACCCGCUCUGUAGGCCCGGCCGCCGCUUGCCGAUCAACCCAAAUUUUUAUCCAGGUUGACCUCGGAUCAGGUAGGGAUACCCGCUGAACUUAAGCAUAUCAAUAAGCGGAGGA
This 345-nucleotide unclassified non-coding RNA is filed under the name soil metagenome. RNAcentral describes it as "partial contains 5.8S ribosomal RNA, internal transcribed spacer 2, and large subunit ribosomal RNA". The stretch from base 1 to 119 matches the Rfam family "5.8S ribosomal RNA", at positions 35 to 154 of the family's 154-position model. The record is from RNAcentral.